This 376-nucleotide ribosomal RNA is filed under the name uncultured organism. RNAcentral's name for it is "partial 16S ribosomal RNA". It matches the Rfam family "Bacterial small subunit ribosomal RNA", at positions 526 to 896 of the family's 1533-position model. The record is from RNAcentral.
AGAGGGGUGCAAGCGUUAAUCGGGAAUUACUGGGCGUAAAGGGCGCGUAGGUGGCUAUUUAAGUCGGAUGUGAAAAAGCUUGGGGGCUUAACCUGAGUCUGUCAUUCGAUACUGGAUAGCUAGAGUACAGUAGAGGGAAGUGGAAUUUCCGGUGUAGCGGUGAAAUGCGUAGAUAUCGGAAGGAACAUCAGUGGCGAAGGCGGCUUCCUGGACUGAUACUGACACUGAGGCGCGAAAGCGUGGUGAGCAAACAGGAUUAGAUACCCUGGUAGUCCACGCCGUAAACGAUGAGAACUAGCCGUAUGAAGGUUUAUCUUUGUGUGGCGAAGCUAACGCGAUAAGUUCUCCGCCUGGGGAGGUACGGCCGCAAAGGUUA